RNAcentral lists this ribosomal RNA (507 nucleotides) under uncultured bacterium. RNAcentral's name for it is "partial 16S ribosomal RNA". It matches the Rfam family "Bacterial small subunit ribosomal RNA", at positions 28 to 507 of the family's 1533-position model. The record is from RNAcentral.
GACGAACGCUGGCGGCGUGCCUAAUACAUGCAAGUCGAACGCAUUUUCUUUCACCGUAGCUUGCUACACCGAAAGAAAAUGAGUGGCGAACGGGUGAGUAACACGUGGGUAACCUGCCCAUCAGCGGGGGAUAACACUUGGAAACAGGUGCUAAUACCGCAUAAUUCCAUUUACCGCAUGGUAAAUGGAUGAAAGGCGCUUUUGCGUCACUGAUGGAUGGACCCGCGGUGCAUUAGCUAGUUGGUGGGGUAACGGCCUACCAAGGCUGCGAUGCAUAGCCGACCUGAGAGGGUGAUCGGCCACACAGGGACUGAGACACGGCCCAGACUCCUACGGGAGGCAGCAGUAGGGAAUCUUCGGCAAUGGACGCAAGUCUGACCGAGCAACGCCGCGUGAGUGAAGAAGGUUUUCGGAUCGUAAAACUCUGUUGUUAGAGAAGAACAAGGAUGAGAGUGGAAAGUUCAUCCCUUGACGGUAUCUAACCAGAAAGCCACGGCUAACUACGUG